Long non-coding RNA from Oenanthe melanoleuca, 4210 nucleotides. RefSeq lists it as uncharacterized. The record is from RefSeq and is a predicted model, not a curated record. The transcript has 4 exons. NCBI's taxonomy places the organism in Eukaryota, Metazoa, Chordata, Aves, Passeriformes, Muscicapidae.
CUAGAUAAGAUAGCAUUUUCCUGGCUAGCAUUAAUUCUACCACUCUAUGUGUAGAAUUGCUGCUGAUAAGCACUCAAAGCACAAUAAGAAAGGCUAGUGAUAAGAAUUGUUGCAGAGAGCCUGAUGACAGAUUUUAUGAUAUGCUUCUGCUAUCAGUUGAAAUAAAUGUGGUUUUGAUCAUGGUCUCCUAAAGAGGUGCAGCCCCAGCAUAAGCAGGAACUUCUCACAGUGGUUUAUCAAACACAGAACAAGUAUUUAUUGAAGGCACAACCAUAUUGAGAGGGCAGAUGGACAGGCAAAUGUGAGCUGGAAGUUUUAAAACCCAUCAUGUCCCAAAAUCUGAAUUGUUCUUAUUGCAGUCCAACAGUUGAGAUCACAGGAUACAUCCAGAGUUAAAUGAAGUCCAAGUUCAGUGCUGAAAUAGCAGAAAUUUUGAUGUGUCAUCAGCAAUGCCUAAAUACAUGUGUAUGCAGAUGUCCUGUGUUAUCCUGAAAGGAGAAAACUCCUGAAUUUAAGAUUAUUCUUUCAGACCUUUCUCCCUCACACCAAAAGAUGUAUGGAAAAGCUUACUCAGUACUUGUAAUCAGUAUGGAGUACAGAGAAAGGCUUUUUGCUGGUUUAUUCAGCAAUGGGAGUGAUCCUCUUCAGUGUAUUCAAACAGCAUCUAUUACCAGCAGUGGAGAUCCCCAUCAGAGAAAUAAAUCAUGACCUUGUGCUUGGCCCAGCAGCAAGGGAGUCCCAGCUGCAGAUUCUUGAGGUGUAGGGAACAGAUCUUCUAAAAAUCAUAUGGAAGCUCUUCUCAGACCAGCUCUAGUCAAGGGGCUCAAGCUCCAGUCCCCAUGGGGAAACUAAAGCCCAGUAUGACAUGUUUUGUCAGAGAACUGGGUAAAUGCAGAAGUUGUGGUGAAAGAUUGCUGCUUUGCAUGCUGUGGUUGGUGAAAGUGAGGGUGGCUUGUUUGGAGCUUGAACAACAAAUUGAAAUUAGUGAAGACACUAAAAGGGAGACAGUAGUUGAAGACAGUGAAAAGCAAGAGCAAGGGUGAUGUGAGGGGUAAAACCCAGAAAGCAAGAGAAAUAAAGCAUGAGAGGAAAUUACCUUCAAGCAAUUGUUAGCAAAAAGUAUUCAUCUGAAUAUUCAGUAAGAAAAAAUUCCUUAGAUGCAGUGGUUUGGGAGGGGAGAACAAUUUUUUAUUUGUUAUUUUGUUUUGGGGUUAAAUCUGUGAGUUCAGCUUACUAUUACUGUUAGGGUUAACCCUCAUGCAUGUUUUCCUGCAGGUCUAGAGGGCCAGGGGCUGAGACCUUAAACUGCAGCAUUAAGAGAAGUGCAGAGUUCCUCGGGCUGGCCCCAGUGCCACAGCUGAAGCUCCAGCUGCAGCCUGCUGCUCCUUCACAGCCACAGGGAGGACACAGCCUUCCCCUUUUCACUCAGGAAGCUGAGAAAGUGACUGUGCAUGACUUACAGCCUAACAUAGAUGUUACAGACAGCAUCCUGCAGAGCAAGUACUUGCUGGGGCUCCCUUGUGUAAGGAAGGAUCUUAAUGAAGAAGGAGGAACCUAAUGGCUCUGUGAGCUUUCUGUUCAAGAGUCACCAAGCUGGUGCAGAACCAGAGGAGUGAUUUGGAGGCUCUGAUGAAUGGUACAAUCAAAGACUUUGAAAGGGAGUUCAGGAUUUAACAGGCUGUGGAACUCUGGAUUCAUUCAAGUCUGCAGAGCAUGGAUUUAGAAGUAUCAGAAGGAAGAGCUGCUCUAUUCCAAGCCAUCCAGUUCCUAAAGCAUAAAGGAUGAAUUUAGCAAAAGAUUAAGGUUCAUCUGGAGCACAGAUGCCACUUGAACUGAGUUCCUUCAUUGUAGGAGACCUGUUGGAGUGGAAUAGAGAAAUGCAGAGCUGCAAACACAAUCUUUGUUGGAAAAUGCAUCUACAGCAGCUGUAAAAAUGGGAUUGAUUGUACAGAUUAUCAGCCAGAAGCUUCACUGGGCUUAACUGUGAGUGGGUGGUUUGACCUAAUACAACCAGAAUGCAGCAAAAUGCCCCUUAAGAGCUCUCCUUGUUUCAGUGCAUUGUAAUAAUCCCAGCUGUGCUUAGUAAAUCUCAUCUCAGAAUGGAAAUAUCACUUAUAGAAAAUAACCUCGGAACACAGCAUGUUGUGUGCACACAUGCACAUCAAGUGAAAGGUGUACAGAGGAAACUGAUGCACCUCACCUGGUCUAGAUUGUAGGUUAUAAAUCAGUUUAUUAGAACUGGAAUUUUAUGGAAGUGAAUGAUUGAAAAGAUAGCUGCCAGCAGUAGAUUUUAUUUCCCCAAUACAUCAGUCAGUGUAAGUAAGGUAUUUGACUUCUUUAUGCAGCUGGAAAAUGGAGUAGAAGAGUAUAAUUAGAAAAUUCUAUGCUGCAGCAAAAUGGGUCUUUCUUGAAGAAAUGAAGUAUUUAGAAACUAAAAGCUUAUGCUGUCCCUUAAUGAUGUCCCACUGCACCUCAAAAAAUACAACACUGGGAAAGGCUUGAUCCUGAUUAGAGAACUGUGCACCUGCAAGGCACAGCACAGCAGUGCACACUUGCUGUGGAGCUGACUUUCCUGGUGUGAUUAAUCUAAUUGAUUUCCCAGAGAUGGCUCCUGUGGGUGGAGUUAAACUUAGGACUUUUUCUAAAUUUGGGCUGUGAUUCCUCAUUGAACUCAGCAGGCUGGGAGCACAGUGUGCUUGGAUGAGUUCCAUGGCAAUGGGUGACAAAACCACCUCUCUCACUGAGACAAGCCCACAGCCAGCUGUGGGAUGUAGCUUGUGGAGCUGGGAAGUGCUUGCAACCUGCUGCUGCAGAGAUCAGGCACUUCAGGAGAGCUGGGGGACAGCACAUCCAUGCUGAGCCCAUGGCUUUGGCAGUCUCCAGGCACAUUUCCUGUGAAAACAAAUGGCAGAAUUGCUGUGGGACAGGUCUUGUUUUGUGUUGGGAAUUAUACCCACCUCCUGCAAACCCACACUGUACAGAAGUAUUUCACUUUUUUAUCUGCUUCUGGGAUAUAGGCCUACAAGAUUUUUCAUACACUUGACACCUCUCAAAACAGCACAGUCCCAAGGCAGCAAUGAUGGAGUGAAUCCAAAAAGGUUCUACUUUCUUUUCAUCUGCUGCCCAGAUUGACCUGCUUAUGUACUUCUAGAUCUACCAGGGACACAAACUAGUCUUCAAAUAUAGCAAUAUGGGUUUUUUGCAAUGUGGGGAUAGGGAGAGUGAAACUGCUCAGCAAGUUUGAAGUGCUGUUUACUGGGCUUAUCUCUAAUAUCCUCUUUAUGUUCCAUGGAAACAACUUCAGGGCUUCAGUCACAUCAGCCCUGUGAAGAAGGAUCUGCAUGAGCUGGGGAUUCUAAGUAGGGAAAUUGUUAGACUUCAACUCCUUGAUUAUUGGGACCUGAAAGUCACAGCAGUAUGUCAUUUGCAAGGCAAUUUUCUCUGGAAUAGCAAUUUGGCUUUGUUUCAUGACCUUGAUGUCACAAAGUAUUAAUAAUCUCUUAAAUCUACCUCACUUGCAAAUAAAAAAACCCUAACAAGGUACAAUCAUUUGUUUGAAUUUUGGGUUGGUACUUACAGUCUGCUUAAAAAUUGCAGCUUUUGGUGUGAUACAUAGGUGUGAAUGCAGUGGGUUUCUCUGCCAAACUUGCCUGGAUACAACAAAUAAAUGAAUUUCAGUCUGUUGGGAGGACAGCUGUUUCCAUGACAUUUUAAGCCAAAUUUCUAAGUAUCUUCAUCUCUUUUCUUAGCAUGCUAAAUGGGCACUACAUGGCUUAAUUCAUAUUUGUGUUUUGCAUACAAAAAAAAAAGGUUUCUCUUAGUUUCUUAUUUCCUUUCUUCAAUAAACAUCUCAGAUAGUAACCUACUAUUUUUGUUCUGUUAGCACAAACAUUCUUAGAAGUAUUGCAAAGGAUGUGAAAUGAAAGGUACAGGUGAAUUACUGACUGGAACAGAGAAGAUACCUGUUCAGGCAAACCCCCUUUGAGAAGCUCACUGUUACCACAGGCUCAAAGAAAAGAGAAACAAACAUUAAAUAUGAUAUACAACAUAGAAUCUGUUCAGAGAAGUUUACUUUUCUUAAAGAGUUGAGUCAUCUCAUACUUUAAAAUUCUAAUUAGAAUUAACGUUGUUACUGCUGCACUAUAACUAUGUUAAUUACCUUUAAUAUAUUCUGGCAUUGAAUUCCACAGGAUAAUUUACUUUAAUUUCA